GACGAACGCCGGCGGCGUGCUUAACACAUGCAAGUCGAGCGAUGAAGUUCCUUCGGGAACGGAUUAGCGGCGGACGGGUGAGUAACACGUGGGUAACCUGCCUCAUAGAGGGGAAUAGCCUUCCGAAAGGAAGAUUAAUACCGCAUAAGAUUGUAAUGCCGCAUGGCAUAGCAAUUAAAGGAGUAAUCCGCUAUGAAAUGGACCCGCGGCGCAUUAGCUAGUUGGUGAGGUAACGGCUCACCAAGGCGACGAUGCGUAGCCGACCUGAGAGGGUGAUCGGCCACAUUGGGACUGAGACACGGCCCAGACUCCCACGGGAGGCAGCAGUGGGGAAUAUUGCACAAUGGGGGAAACCCUGAUGCAGCAACGCCGCGUGAGUGAUGACGGUCUUCGGAUUGUAAAACUCUGUCUUCAGGGACGAUAAUGACGGUACCUGAGGAGGAAGCCACGGCUAACUACGUGCCAGCCGCCGCAGUAA
This 478-nucleotide ribosomal RNA is filed under the name uncultured bacterium. RNAcentral's name for it is "partial 16S ribosomal RNA". It matches the Rfam family "Bacterial small subunit ribosomal RNA", at positions 28 to 523 of the family's 1533-position model. The record is from RNAcentral.